AGUGGUUACCAGGAAGCUGCAGCUUAUGAAGCAGCUAUAGAGGAGUCAAGAUAUGUAUUUGACAUAGGACUUGCUAUGGGGUUCGAUAUGACACUGCUGAACAUAGGUGGAAGUUAUCCCGGACGAAACGUCCAAAAUGAUAAAAACACAUUUAAAGAGAUGACGAAUUACAUGGUUACACAGAUACACCGUAUAAACAAAUUAGAAUGUAUUAUGUCAAUGAUGGAAUUUAUGGAUGCUUUUUCGACUGUCUUCUCUACCCUGUCUGGUUCGUUCCAUCACAUUUUAAGGGAGGAAAUAUAUCCACUAGAGCAAAGUCGUCUCAUCAAGACAACACAAGGGGAAUGAUGAGCACAUUGAGUGAUGUCAAAAAAUAAAACAUUCACAACUGGUAAUAACUGAUCUUAAUCUUGCGAAAUGAGGUCAGACGUGCAAUUAUAUAUACGAAAAACUAUCAAUAUUUUUAGUUCUGGUAUUUUACUAGACAAAAUGUAACCAAUUGAUAAUAUUGUUUUAAAUGUAUACAAUAAAUCGUACAACACUUACACAGAAUCAAAAG
Mytilus californianus (California mussel) is the source of this 559-nucleotide long non-coding RNA. RefSeq lists it as uncharacterized. The transcript has 3 exons. Lineage: Eukaryota; Metazoa; Mollusca; Bivalvia; Mytilida; Mytilidae. The record is from RefSeq and is a predicted model, not a curated record.